RNAcentral lists this long non-coding RNA (758 nucleotides) under Fukomys damarensis (Damara mole-rat). Its description in RNAcentral is "lncRNA (ENSFDAG00000030666.1)". Lineage: Eukaryota; Metazoa; Chordata; Mammalia; Rodentia; Bathyergidae. The record is from RNAcentral.
GGCUUAUGUUUCAGAGCAGUUUCAUCUCACUUAAUGAGACUCGAGCUUUGCCGAUUUUCCUUUUUUGCUUCUAUACUAAAUUAUAAUUUAGAAUGCAUUACCUAAUUUCUGUACUCUGACAUAAUGCAGAUUAUGUUGAUUUACAGGUGGGUGGAGAUGGCUGGGUGCCAGUACCUACAGGUGAGACUCCAGUGGAGAUGUAACUUCCCAGCCUCGAACUUCAGGAGCAAUGUGUGCAAUGCGGCAGCCUCAGCGCAGCUCAGCCCCAUGUUACAGGGAAACUGCUGCAUGAGGAAAAGCGGCCUAGCAGCAAGAACAGGAAUAUCAGCAGUGGCCCUGUCACUGAAGUGUGGCUACAGGAAAGAGUAGGGAGUGGCAUGGACCUCCCAGACCUUUGACACCUUGGAUCUGCAAGUGAGUUUAGCACAUUUUCAGGACCCUAAUACUGUGUACCAGGGAGAAUUAACACACAUUAGUAUCGACCUCAAGGAUGGUAGUUUCUUAGGAGACAAAACUCUGUAAAUAUGGAAAAGAAUUGUUCAAAAAUUUAGCUUUCUUCUUCUCUGUUUGGAUGAUACAAAGGGCCUCCAGUAUCAAAUACAAAUUGCAUUACUCAAAUUUCAAUGUGAAUCUUAAAACUGAACCCCCAUAGAUCUAUAACUAACUUAGAGAACAUUUUGAGGAGGUUAUGGCAAUGUCAGUGAUGGUCACUGGAAUUGACAUUGUGGGUAAAAAGAGAUCUAAUCAUCCAUCUGACA